GGGUCAGUAGGUUGGUCGUGCCACCGGUACGUACUGGUCUCACUGAUUCCUCCUUCCUGAAGAACCGUAAUGCCAUUAAUUCGGUGUUGCGGGGAAUCAGGACUGUUACUUUGAAAAAAUUAGAGUGUUUAAAGCAAGCUAACGCUUGAAUACAUUAGCAUGGAAUAAUGAAAUAGGACGAUCGAUCCUAUUUUGUUGGUUUCUAGGAUUGACGUA
Molecule: ribosomal RNA, 216 nt
Filed under: Glomeromycotina sp.
Lineage: Eukaryota; Fungi; Glomeromycota
Description: partial small subunit ribosomal RNA
Rfam family: Eukaryotic small subunit ribosomal RNA (bases 87-216)
Source: RNAcentral